RNAcentral lists this ribosomal RNA (157 nucleotides) under uncultured bacterium. RNAcentral describes it as "partial 16S ribosomal RNA". It matches the Rfam family "Bacterial small subunit ribosomal RNA", at positions 355 to 509 of the family's 1533-position model. The record is from RNAcentral.
UGAGGAAUAUUGGUCAAUGGGCGGGAGCCUGAACCAGCCAAGCCGCGUGAGGGAAGACGGCGCUAUGAGUUGUAAACCUCUUUUGCCGGGGAACAAAUGCGGGGAUGCAUCCCUGUUUGAGUGUACCCGGAGAAAAAGCAUCGGCUAACUCCGUGCC